GAUGAACGCUAGCGGCAGGCUUAACACAUGCAAGUCGAGGGGUAGAGGAAGCUUGCUUCCUUGAGACCGGCGCACGGUGCGUAACGCGUAUGCAAUCUACCUUAUACAGGGGGAUAGCCCAGAGAAAUUUGGAUUAAUACCCCAUAGUAUAAUUGAAUGGCAUCAUUUAAUUAUUAAAGUUCCAACGGUAUAAGAUGAGCAUGCGUCCAUUAGCUAGUUGGUGUGGUAACGGCACACCAAGGCGACGAUGGGUAGGGGUCCUGAGAGGGAGAUCCCCCACACUGGUACUGAGACACGGACCAGACUCCUACGGGAGGCAGCAGUGAGGAAUAUUGGUCAAUGGGCGCAAGCCUGAACCAGCCAUGCCGCGUGCAGGAUGACGGUCCUAUGGAUUGUAAACUGCUUUGUACAGGAAGAAACACUCCCUCGUGAGGGAGCUUGACGGUACUGUAAGAAUAAGGAUCGGCUAACUCCGUGCCAGCAGCCGCGGUAAU
Molecule: ribosomal RNA, 494 nt
Filed under: uncultured bacterium
Lineage: Bacteria
Description: bacterial SSU rRNA
Rfam family: Bacterial small subunit ribosomal RNA
Source: RNAcentral